GUGCCAGCCGCCGCGGUAAUACGUAGGGGGCAAGCGUUGUCCGGAUUUAUUGGGCGUAAAGAGCUCGUAGGCGGUUCCGUGAGUCGGCUGUGAAAUCUCCACGCUCAACGUGGAGGGGUCAGUCGAUACUGCGGUGACUCGAGUCCGGUAGGGGAGUGUGGAAUUCCCGGUGUAGCGGUGAAAUGCGCAGAGAUCGGGAGGAACACCCGUAGCGAAGGCGGCACUCUGGGCCGGUACUGACGCUGAGGAGCGAAAGCGUGGGGAGCAAACAGGAUUAGAAACCCUUGUAGUCC
This 293-nucleotide ribosomal RNA is filed under the name uncultured bacterium. RNAcentral describes it as "partial 16S ribosomal RNA". It matches the Rfam family "Bacterial small subunit ribosomal RNA", at positions 505 to 796 of the family's 1533-position model. The record is from RNAcentral.